Molecule: unclassified non-coding RNA, 97 nt
Organism: Cavia porcellus (domestic guinea pig)
Lineage: Eukaryota; Metazoa; Chordata; Mammalia; Rodentia; Caviidae
Rfam family: Y RNA
About the family: Y RNAs are components of the Ro ribonucleoprotein particle (Ro RNP), in association with Ro60 and La proteins.
Source: Ensembl
GGCUGGUCCGAUGGCAGUGGGUUAUCAGAACUUAUUAACAUUAGUGUCACUAAAGUUGGUAUACAACCCCCCUCAUGCUAAAUUUGACUGGCUUAAA